RNAcentral lists this ribosomal RNA (837 nucleotides) under Triticum aestivum (bread wheat). RNAcentral describes it as "partial small subunit ribosomal RNA". Lineage: Eukaryota; Viridiplantae; Streptophyta; Magnoliopsida; Poales; Poaceae. The record is from RNAcentral.
AUGGCACGCCGUUUCCUGGCCGUGCUCGCCGUCGUCCUGGCGCUCUCGCAGGCCGCCUCGGCCAAGCCCUGGCUCGACGAUAAGUUCAACACGGACGGCACUGUCCGGACCGGUUACGACGCUUCGGGCGAGCAGGUGGUGACGCUCAGCCUCGACCAGCGCUCCGGCGCCGGCUUCAACUCCGAUGAGCAAUACCUCUACGGUGAGUUCAGCAUCCAGAUGAAGCUCAUCCCGGGAAACUCCGCCGGCACCGUCUCUUGCUUCUACCUUUCUUCCGGUGAUGGCGACGGGCACGACGAGAUCGACAUGGAGUUCAUGGGCAACUCCAGCGGCCCUGGCCAUCCAGUGGUGCUCAACACCAACGUGUGGGUCAACGGCGACGGCAAGAAGGAGCACCAGUUCAACCUCUGGUUCGACCCCGCCGCCGACUUCCACACCUACACCAUCAUCUGGAACCCGGAGAACAUCCUCUUCAAGGUUGACAACCUCUUCAUCCGGUCCUUCAAGCGCUUCGCCGGCAUCCCCUACACUAGCUCCAAACCCAUGAGGCUGCACGCCACGCUCUGGGACGGCAGCUUCUGGGCGACCGAGAAGGGCAAGGUCCCCAUCGACUGGUCCAACGCGCCCUUCAACGUCUUGUACCGGAACUACUACGCCAACGCCUGCGUCAGCGGCGGCGCGUGCCACGCCGGCAGCGACGGGUGGAUGAACAGGCAGCUCAACGGCGCCGAGUGGGGCACCGUGAAGUGGGCGGAGCGCAGUUACAUGAGCUACAACUACUGCGAGGAUGGGUACAGGUUCCCGCAGGGGUUCCCCGCCGAGUGCAGCCGCUACUGA